RNAcentral lists this ribosomal RNA (1440 nucleotides) under Limosilactobacillus sp. RNAcentral's name for it is "bacterial SSU rRNA". It matches the Rfam family "Bacterial small subunit ribosomal RNA". Lineage: Bacteria; Bacillati; Bacillota; Bacilli; Lactobacillales; Lactobacillaceae. The record is from RNAcentral.
CAGUCGAACGCGUUGGCCCAAUUGAUUGAUGGUGCUUGCACCUGAUUGAUUUUGGUCGCCAACGAGUGGCGGACGGGUGAGUAACACGUAGGUAACCUGCCCAGAAGCGGGGGACAACAUUUGGAAACAGAUGCUAAUACCGCAUAACAGCGUUGUUCGCAUGAACAACGCUUAAAAGAUGGCUUCUCGCUAUCACUUCUGGAUGGACCUGCGGUGCAUUAGCUUGUUGGUGGGGUAACGGCCUACCAAGGCGAUGAUGCAUAGCCGAGUUGAGAGACUGAUCGGCCACAAUGGGACUGAGACACGGCCCAUACUCCUACGGGAGGCAGCAGUAGGGAAUCUUCCACAAUGGGCGCAAGCCUGAUGGAGCAACACCGCGUGAGUGAAGAAGGGUUUCGGCUCGUAAAGCUCUGUUGUUAAAGAAGAACACGUAUGAGAGUAACUGUUCAUACGUUGACGGUAUUUAACCAGAAAGUCACGGCUAACUACGUGCCAGCAGCCGCGGUAAUACGUAGGUGGCAAGCGUUAUCCGGAUUUAUUGGGCGUAAAGAGAGUGCAGGCGGUUUUCUAAGUCUGAUGUGAAAGCCUUCGGCUUAACCGGAGAAGUGCAUCGGAAACUGGAUAACUUGAGUGCAGAAGAGGGUAGUGGAACUCCAUGUGUAGCGGUGGAAUGCGUAGAUAUAUGGAAGAACACCAGUGGCGAAGGCGGCUACCUGGUCUGCAACUGACGCUGAGACUCGAAAGCAUGGGUAGCGAACAGGAUUAGAUACCCUGGUAGUCCAUGCCGUAAACGAUGAGUGCUAGGUGUUGGAGGGUUUCCGCCCUUCAGUGCCGGAGCUAACGCAUUAAGCACUCCGCCUGGGGAGUACGACCGCAAGGUUGAAACUCAAAGGAAUUGACGGGGGCCCGCACAAGCGGUGGAGCAUGUGGUUUAAUUCGAAGCUACGCGAAGAACCUUACCAGGUCUUGACAUCUUGCGCCAACCCUAGAGAUAGGGCGUUUCCUUCGGGAACGCAAUGACAGGUGGUGCAUGGUCGUCGUCAGCUCGUGUCGUGAGAUGUUGGGUUAAGUCCCGCAACGAGCGCAACCCUUGUUACUAGUUGCCAGCAUUAAGUUGGGCACUCUAGUGAGACUGCCGGUGACAAACCGGAGGAAGGUGGGGACGACGUCAGAUCAUCAUGCCCCUUAUGACCUGGGCUACACACGUGCUACAAUGGACGGUACAACGAGUCGCGAACUCGCGAGGGCAAGCAAAUCUCUUAAAACCGUUCUCAGUUCGGACUGCAGGCUGCAACUCGCCUGCACGAAGUCGGAAUCGCUAGUAAUCGCGGAUCAGCAUGCCGCGGUGAAUACGUUCCCGGGCCUUGUACACACCGCCCGUCACACCAUGAGAGUUUGUAACACCCAAAGUCGGUGGGGUAACCUUUUAGGAGCCAGCCG